UCAGUCGGCCGGGCGGCCGCUCCGAGCUUCGGCUUGGGGAGGAAAGUCCGGGCUCCAUGGAGAGACGGUGCCGGAUAACGUCCGGCGGGGGCGACCCCAGGGACAGUGCCACAGAGAGCAGACCGCCCCGGACCGCGAGGUCGCGGGGUCAGGGUGAAAGGGUGCGGUAAGAGCGCACCGCGGACGCGGCAACGCGGACGGCACGGCAAACCCCACCGGGAGCAAGACCGAAUAGGGGCGGCGCGCGUCUCCUCGCAGGAAGAGGCGCAGGCCCGCUCUCCAGGCCAGUCGCCCGGGUUGGUUGCUCGAGGCGGUCGGCAACGAUCGUCCCAGAGGAAUGGCCGCCACGUCCGGAUGCGCCUCGGCGCCUCCGGGCCCUACAGAACCCGGCUUAUAGGCCGGCUGAUCCG
Molecule: RNase P RNA, 410 nt
Filed under: Methylobacterium sp. WL122
Lineage: Bacteria; Pseudomonadati; Pseudomonadota; Alphaproteobacteria; Hyphomicrobiales; Methylobacteriaceae
Also listed under: 1 other name
Description: RNase P RNA component class A
Rfam family: Bacterial RNase P class A
About the family: Ribonuclease P (RNase P) is a ubiquitous endoribonuclease, found in archaea, bacteria and eukarya as well as chloroplasts and mitochondria. Its best characterised activity is the generation of mature 5'-ends of tRNAs by cleaving the 5'-leader elements of precursor-tRNAs.
Source: RNAcentral